This 774-nucleotide long non-coding RNA is filed under the name Homo sapiens (human). RNAcentral describes it as "HSALNT0400369". The record is from RNAcentral. Lineage: Eukaryota; Metazoa; Chordata; Mammalia; Primates; Hominidae.
UGGCAGUGCUUGUGUGUCGGAGCUCUGAGGCUCCGGCCUGACCUCUCCUCGGGGUCGACGGGAACGUCUCCGGAUGCCAGGACUCGCAAAGGGCUGACAAGAAUGAGGAAAUCCCAGGCGGAGUCCGGGGGAGGCAGCACGGCAUCCCAGCCUCAGGGCUGCCCGGACGGUGUUGGUUGGGGUAAGAUUGGGGAAGAUGCCAGGUGAUAGAAUCCACCCUGCCUCUGACAGCAUCCAAUCUGGAGCAAAGGCUUCUUUCAACCUUCCCCCAAGCUCCCAAUACAAGCCCAAAUUCUGGAACAAGUCCUUUCCAACACCUCCUUCAGAGAAGCUCCCUGGCUCCAGGCAGUGCUUGCUCCCCUCACUGCAGCAGGAAGCCUAACUUGCGAACUGCAGGUGUGCUCCAGGUGGUCACUGGAUGCAAGAAAUGGUGCGAGAACUUUGGAUGUGGAACGUGGAGGAGGAGGAACACGAAGUGGGGAUCUGCACUUGGGGUGGUCAGCACUGCGGAUGCCCAGCAAAGUCACUGCCUGGUCCACAUCCCGGAGGGGUCUCUGCGCCUCAGUCGGCAUCGCAGCUGAUGGUGAAACUUUUGGUGUGGCAGAAGAGUGUCCACAAACUUCGGAAGUUGCUAGAGAAAACUGAAAACUACUAGUUUUGAAAGCCUCACUUCUGCCAAUGGAAGCACAUUCCAGCAUGUCGCCAACGCAAUCCACUUUCCACCACUUUCACAAAAAACGUUACUGCACAAUUAUACUAUCCUACCCUUAUAUA